RNAcentral lists this ribosomal RNA (408 nucleotides) under uncultured bacterium. Its description in RNAcentral is "bacterial SSU rRNA". It matches the Rfam family "Bacterial small subunit ribosomal RNA", at positions 93 to 518 of the family's 1533-position model. The record is from RNAcentral.
GAGCGGCGGACGGGUGAGUAACGGCGUGGGUAACCUGCCUCAUACACAUGGAUAACAUACCGAAAGGUAUGCUAAUACAGGAUAAUAUAAGAGAUUCACAUGGAUUUCUUAUCAAAGCUCCGGCGGUAUGAGAUGGACCCGCGUCUGAUUAGCUAGUUGGUAAGGUAAUGGCUUACCAAGGCGACGAUCAGUAGCCGACCUGAGAGGGUGAUCGGCCACAUUGGAACUGAGACACGGUCCAAACUCCUACGGGAGGCAGCAGUGGGGAAUAUUGCACAAUGGGCGAAAGCCUGAUGCAGCAACGCCGCGUGAGUGAUGAAGGCCUUCGGGUCGUAAAACUCUGUCCUCAAGGAAGAUAAUGACGGUACUUGAGGAGGAAGCCCCGGCUAACUACGUGCCAGCCGCCGC